This 558-nucleotide ribosomal RNA is filed under the name uncultured Nocardiaceae bacterium. RNAcentral's name for it is "bacterial SSU rRNA". It matches the Rfam family "Bacterial small subunit ribosomal RNA", at positions 339 to 908 of the family's 1533-position model. Lineage: Bacteria; Bacillati; Actinomycetota; Actinomycetes; Mycobacteriales; Nocardiaceae. The record is from RNAcentral.
CUACGGGAGGCAGCAGUGGGGAAUAUUGCACAAUGGGCGGAAGCCUGAUGCAGCGACGCCGCGUGGGGGAUGACGGUCUUCGGAUUGUAAACUCCUUUCAGUAGGGACGAAGCGUGAGUGACGGUACCUGCAGAAGAAGCACCGGCUAACUACGUGCCAGCAGCCGCGGUAAUACGUAGGGUGCGAGCGUUGUCCGGAAUUACUGGGCGUAAAGAGCUCGUAGGCGGUUUGUCGCGUCGUUUGUGAAAACCCGGGGCUCAACUUCGGGCUUGCAGGCGAUACGGGCAGACUUGAGUGUUUCAGGGGAGACUGGAAUUCCUGGUGUAGCGGUGAAAUGCGCAGAUAUCAGGAGGAACACCGGUGGCGAAGGCGGGUCUCUGGGAAACAACUGACGCUGAGGAACGAAAGCGUGGGUAGCAAACAGGAUUAGAUACCCUGGUAGUCCACGCCGUAAACGGUGGGCGCUAGGUGUGGGUUCCUUCCACGGGAUCUGUGCCGUAGCUAACGCAUUAAGCGCCCCGCCUGGGGAGUACGGCCGCAAGGCUAAAACUCAAAGAA